CUACUCAGGUUCAAGCACAGGGCAACGGACGCGGUGGGGAGGGUUGGGGUGGGGCGUGCUGGGGUAGGGGGAAGGCGGUGGCGGGAACUGCGCACACAGCGAAGGGCGGGGGUCAGGGUGCUCCGCGCACAGCCCAGCACAGCCCUGCAUGCGGGGUCCGCGCUCUGCACCCGGCCCUCCCUCACCGAGGCGCACCUAGGGCGGCUACUGAAAACUGGUGCCUGGUGGCCCGUGUGCACAGCUCGGGGCGCCGCGCGGCCCGCCAGUGACUCAGCGCGGGGCGUGUGCAGGCGGCGCCCGCCCCGGAGGGCUUUUGCACUCGCCCCGGCUCCUUCCCGCUAUAAAGUCAGCCCACAGCGCCCUCCGCUUCAGCACGCCCCCUCGACUUCCUUGCCAUACUUCGUGACACAGUCUCCGGACCCCAGCCUCCGCUUCGUCUCGCCAUGGAUCCCAACUGCUCCUGCACCGCAGGCGGAUCCUGCACGUGUGCCGGCUCCUGCAAAUGCAAAGACUGCAAAUGCACCUCCUGCAAGAAGAGCUGCUGCUCCUGCUGCCCUCCGGGCUGCGCCAAGUGUGCCCAGGGCUGCAUCUGCAAAGGGACCUCAGACAAGUGCAGCUGUUGUGCCUGAUGUCGCGGAGAGCCUGCCCCGGGUGUAAAUAGAGCAACCAGGACAAACCUACAUUCCUCUUUUUUUUUUUUGUCCUAUAAAAUACAAGAAUGAUAAUAAAAGUGGUUGGCUUUAUUCUGGCUGUUUUCCUUAACUUGACCAGAGCUGGGGUGAGGGACUGGGCUAGUAGUACACAGACUUGGUUUCUGGACCAAAAUGUUAGCCCUUAACAAACCCAGUGCCUUGUUCAAGCCACAUUACCCCACUGGGCUUCAUCUUUUGUAAAACGGAAGAGCCUUAGGCCAGAUGCUAUAAGGACACUGGGCACAUACAGGGUCCCCUCUGUUUUCAAGUCAAGGGUUGGUGGCACAGAAACUUCUCAAUCCAGAAUCCUCAUUCUCCAUGGUUUCCCUGUUCAACUGCAGUUCCUCGCUGGAUUUUAGUCUUCAGUGACUACAGGGGUGGAAAACUCCCUCACCUGCUUGAAUCUAAAUGGGGCGUCUAAAAAAUCCCUGUGGUGAAGGAACAGAUUUCAUUUCCCAUCCAUUGCAGACCUAAACCUUGGUAAAAAACAGAAACAAAAAAAAUUAUAAAAAUGCCACAGAACAAUACAAAGCCCACGUUUUCAGAUUCCACACACGUAAUUUCAGUCAAUAUAUGAAAAACAAACAAAAUCAGAGAUUUAAAAACGUCGC
RNAcentral lists this long non-coding RNA (1303 nucleotides) under Delphinapterus leucas (beluga whale). RNAcentral's name for it is "lncRNA (ENSDLEG00000007601.1)". Lineage: Eukaryota; Metazoa; Chordata; Mammalia; Artiodactyla; Monodontidae. The record is from RNAcentral.